UAAGUGUAAGCAAUUAUACAGCGAAACUGCGAAUGGCUCAUUAUAUAAGUUAUCGUUUAUUUGAUAGUACCUUACUACUUGGAUAACCGUGGUAAUUCUAGAGCUAAUACAUGCUGAAAAUCCCGACUUCGGAAGGGAUGUAUUUAUUAGAUUAAAAACCAAUGCCCUCUGGGCUCCUUGGUGAUUCAUAAUAACUUUUCGAAUCGCACGGCCUUGCGCCGGCGAUGGUUCAUUCAAAUUUCUUCCCUAUCAACUUUCGAUGUUUGGGUAUUGGCCAAACAUGGUCGCAACGGGUAACGGAGGGUUAGGGCUCGACCCCGG
Molecule: ribosomal RNA, 321 nt
Filed under: Beauveria pseudobassiana
Lineage: Eukaryota; Fungi; Ascomycota; Sordariomycetes; Hypocreales; Cordycipitaceae
Description: SSU rRNA
Rfam family: Eukaryotic small subunit ribosomal RNA
Source: RNAcentral